This 905-nucleotide ribosomal RNA is filed under the name Buliminella elegantissima. RNAcentral's name for it is "SSU rRNA". It matches the Rfam family "Eukaryotic small subunit ribosomal RNA", at positions 1230 to 1828 of the family's 1831-position model. The record is from RNAcentral. Lineage: Eukaryota; Foraminifera; Rotaliida; Buliminellidae.
GCGCUUUGGCGUGAUAACGUGUUAAAUAUGCUAGCCCUUUCAUGAUUAUGUGAUAGGUGGUGCAUGGCCGUUCUUAGUUCGUGGAGUGAUCUGUCUGCUUAAUUGCGUUUCAAUAUGAACCUUCGAAUAAAUGCACUUCAGUGAGACAGUUUGACCCCUGGCUUCACCGUCAGCGCGUGUCUUUCUGUCAUAUUCGCUGUGUGCUAAGACGGUUCUGAAAGCAACGAACGUGACCGCAACCUCUUGUUGCCUGUAAACACCAGAGACUUUCACGUUUCUGUCAAACAGGCCAUUUAUAAUAAACUAGAGGGACCGCUGCUACUUUCUUAAACCAGAGGAAGGUUGCGGCAAUAACAGGUCUGUGAUGCCCUUAGAUGUUCCGGGCUGCACACGUGCUACAAUGAUUAUUGCAGUGAGCAUCUCAUAUUAUACGCCGCUUGCGUGAGCGUUUUAACCUUUCACGGUUACUACGGCUUCAUCGCGCGGUAAAGCCUGCUUCGAAAGUAAGUGGGUAAUCAAUUAGAAGUAAUGAUUUCCUUCUUUAUGCACAACAAUGUCCGGCACCAUGCCCCAGACUGAUACUCAUCUUUCCUGUGUGUGCGUAGUGGGUCCUUUUCGACCUUUUACCGUUCGUGCAAUUGUCAAUUCAUGGUGGGGACAGACCAUUGUUAAUUGUUGGUCUCGGUCUUAACUAGGAAUGCCUUGUACGGGUCUUUGGUUCAACAAACCACCCGGAAUACGUCCCUGCCCUUUGUGCACACCGCCCGUCGCUCUUACCGAUGGAUUUCUCUGUGAGUUUGAAGGACUGGCCUGCUUCAAGGCUAUGGAAAUUCAAACGAACAGUGUGAUCUAAAGGAAAGAGAAGUCGUAACAAGGCAUCGGUAGGUGAACCUGCAGAAGGAUCA